UGAACCUUAGGAACAUCAGUU
This is a non-coding RNA of Caenorhabditis elegans, 21 nucleotides long. The record is from Ensembl. Lineage: Eukaryota; Metazoa; Nematoda; Chromadorea; Rhabditida; Rhabditidae.